RNAcentral lists this ribosomal RNA (775 nucleotides) under uncultured Neocallimastigales. RNAcentral's name for it is "partial large subunit ribosomal RNA". It matches the Rfam family "Eukaryotic large subunit ribosomal RNA", at positions 23 to 634 of the family's 3401-position model. The record is from RNAcentral. Lineage: Eukaryota; Fungi; Neocallimastigomycota; Neocallimastigomycetes; Neocallimastigales.
AGAGAGAGACAUGCGCGCAUAUCAAUAAGCGGAGGAAAAGAAACUAACAAGGAUUCCCUUAGUAACGGCGAGUGAAGCGGGAAGAGCUCAAAUUUGAAAUCUUCAAGGUUUUACCUUGACGAAUUGUAGUUUAAAGAAGUGUUUUCUGCUGAAGUUUUGGCUAAAAGUUCUUUGGAAUAGGACAUCAUAGAGGGUGAGAAUCCCGUAUUUGACCAUUAUUUUCAGCUUUGUGAUACACUUUCAAAGAGUCGGAUUGUUUGGGAAUGCAGUCCAAAAUGGGUGGUAAAUUUCAUCUAAAGCUAAAUAUUGGCGAGAGACCGAUAGCGAACAAGUACCGUGAGGGAAAGAUGAAAAGAACUUUGAAAAGAGAGUUAAACAGUACGUGAAAUUGUCAAAAGGGAAGCGUUUGACACCAGUGUUGUUUUCUCGAAAAUCAAUUAAAAAUGGCUCGAUUUUGUAUUGUUGAGACCUUAAAAGCUCACUGUACAUUUUUCGUGUCUUUUUUAAUGCACUUUUCGUUUAACAAGUCAACAUCAGUUUCUUUUGUUGUAAAAGGGUCAUUGGAAGGUGGCUUUCUUUUCGGAGAAAGUGUUUAUAGCCUUUGGCCUCUGCAAUCGAAGAGACUGAGGUCUGCAGCGUAGACUCUUCGGGGUUAGAUACAUUUGUGCUAAGUUAUAGCUUUUUAUAGACAACUUGUUGACUAUAAUUAGUCUUGUAGCUUACUCGCUUAUGCUAUUUUACCUACGCUUAGGAUGUUGAGUCGUAGAGCACGCAG